Small nuclear RNA from Talpa occidentalis (Iberian mole), 106 nucleotides. Lineage: Eukaryota; Metazoa; Chordata; Mammalia; Eulipotyphla; Talpidae. The record is from RefSeq and is a predicted model, not a curated record.
GUGCUUGCUUCAGCAGCAUAUAUACUAAAAUUGGAACUAUACAGAGAAAUUAGCAUGGCCCCUGCGCAAGGAUAACACUCAAAUUUGUGAAGUGUUCCAUAUUUUU